Molecule: ribosomal RNA, 503 nt
Filed under: uncultured bacterium
Lineage: Bacteria
Description: partial 16S ribosomal RNA
Rfam family: Bacterial small subunit ribosomal RNA
Source: RNAcentral
GAUGAACGCUAGCGACAGGCUUAACACAUGCAAGUCGAGGGGCAGCAUAAAAGUAGCAAUACUUUGGUGGCGACCGGCGCACGGGUGAGUAACGCGUAUGCAACCUACCUAUCAGAGGGGAAUAACCCGGCGAAAGUCGGACUAAUACCGCAUAAAACAGGGGCACCGCAUGGUGAUAUUUGUUAAAGAAAUUCGCUGAUAGAUGGGCAUGCGUUCCAUUAGGUAGUUGGUGAGGUAACGGCUCACCAAGCCGACGAUGGAUAGGGGAACUGAGAGGUUGGUCCCCCACACUGGUACUGAGACACGGACCAGACUCCUACGGGAGGCAGCAGUGAGGAAUAUUGGUCAAUGGGCGAGAGCCUGAACCAGCCAAGUCGCGUGAAGGAAGAAGGAUCUAUGGUUCGUAAACUCCUUUUGCAGGGGAAUAAAGUGCGGGACGUGUCCUGUUUUGUAUGUACCCUGAGAAUAAGGAUCGGCUAACUCCGUGCCAGCAGCCGCCGUAA